This 449-nucleotide ribosomal RNA is filed under the name uncultured bacterium. RNAcentral describes it as "SSU rRNA". It matches the Rfam family "Bacterial small subunit ribosomal RNA", at positions 26 to 518 of the family's 1533-position model. The record is from RNAcentral.
AGAGCGAACGCUGGCGGCAGGCUUAACACAUGCAAGUCGAGCGGGCGUAGCAAUACGUCAGCGGCAGACGGGUGAGUAACGCGUGGGAACAUACCUUUUGGUUCGGAACAACACAGGGAAACUUGUGCUAAUACCGGAUAAGCCCUUACGGGGAAAGAUUUAUCGCCGAAAGAUUGGCCCGCGUCUGAUUAGCUAGUUGGUGAGGUAACGGCUCACCAAGGCGACGAUCAGUAGCUGGUCUGAGAGGAUGAUCAGCCACAUUGGGACUGAGACACGGCCCAAACUCCUACGGGAGGCAGCAGUGGGGAAUAUUGGACAAUGGGCGCAAGCCUGAUCCAGCCAUGCCGCGUGAGUGAUGAAGGCCCUAGGGUUGUAAAGCUUCUUUUGUGCGGGAAGAUAAUGACGGUACCGCAAGAAUAAGCCCCGGCUAACUUCGCGCCAGCAGCCGC